GAUGAACGCUGGCGGCGUGCCUAAUACAUGCAAGUCGAGCGAACAGACGAGGAGCUUGCUCCUCUGACGUUAGCGGCGGACGGGUGAGUAACACGUGGAUAACCUACCUAUAAGACUGGGAUAACUUCGGGAAACCGGAGCUAAUACCGGAUAAUAUAUUGAACCGCAUGGUUCAAUAGUGAAAGACGGUUUUGCUGUCACUUAUAGAUGGAUCCGCGCCGCAUUAGCUAGUUGGUAAGGUAACGGCUUACCAAGGCAACGAUGCGUAGCCGACCUGAGAGGGUGAUAGGCCACAAUGGAACGGAGACACGGUCAAGACUCCUAAGGGAGGCAGCAGUAGGGAAUCUGCCGCAAUGGGCGAAAGCUUGACGGAGCAACGCCGCGUGAGUGAUGAAGGUCUUCGGAUCGUAAAAAUCUGUUAUUAGGGAAGAACAAAUGUGUAAGUAACUAUGCACGGCUUGACGGUACCUAAUCAGAAAGCCACGGCUAACUACGUG
RNAcentral lists this ribosomal RNA (497 nucleotides) under uncultured bacterium. RNAcentral describes it as "partial 16S ribosomal RNA". It matches the Rfam family "Bacterial small subunit ribosomal RNA", at positions 28 to 507 of the family's 1533-position model. The record is from RNAcentral.